CAAAAGACAAAGAUAAAAACAGAGGCAGUGUUGGAAGAGCAAUCAUGAAAAAAUUUAACCUAAAAGUCUCAAUUCCAUGUAGGGCUGAACGAUUUAUCGUUUUCUGAUCAAAACCGCAAUUUCUGAAAGCGCGAUCAUGUGAUCGUCAAAGCGCCGGUUUUUUUGCAGUGCCCCUGACUGACCCAGGAUCUGUUGUGUUGACUAUUUUGCGGCACAUGCCCCUACGGCCAAGCUGACCAAUCAGAAGCGACAUGCUCCUCGUGGACAGGUCACGCUAACCAAUCAGUAUUAACCUGCUCCUCGUGUUUUGAAAUGGCGUCAGCGGAACCAGAAGCGGAGUUAAUCCCCAAGAAAAGCGGCACAGCGGUCAUUUGGGAGUAUUUCGGUUACGAGGCUGCAGACAUUCACCGGAAACAGGUACUGCGCAAAGUUUGCCGCUCUAAAGUUGCCACAUCAGGCGGAAACACGACCAACUUAUAUCGGCACUUGAAAAAUCAUCACUGACAUUUGCAUGAGGAGUGCAUGACGAAAAAGUCUAGUGAGAAGUCUGGCGAAAGUGAUUCUCAAGCCCACUGCAGCGAACAGACUACAAUUACAGCAUCCUUUGCCAGUGUAACUCCCUAUGAGAAGAACAGUGAAAGGCAGCGGGAGAUAAAGACCGCCAUAACACACUACAUCGCCAAAGAUAUGGUGCCUGUUAACACAGUCACCAAAGACGGAUUUAAAAACCUCCUCCGCACACUGGACAGAAAGUAUGUGAUCCCCUCCCGCAGCUACUUCAACCGGGUUGCCAUCCCACAGCUGUACACAGAGUGUAAAGAGAAAGUGGAAGCAGAGCUGCAAAACGUGGAAUAUUUCGCCUCAACUGCAGAUAUGUGGUCAAGCAGAACGACCAAACUGUUUCUGAGUUUGACUGUGCAUUUCGUAAAUGACAAGUUCGAGUUGAAAAGUCGCUGCCUGCAGACGGGAUACUUUCCCACAGACCACACCGGAGAGAAUAUUGCCCUGGGACUGAGAGUGUCUGUCCUUACGUGCGUCACCACAGACAAUGCCACAAUCAUCAUCAAAGCGGUGGAACUUAAUAAAUGGACCAGACUUCAAUGUUUUGGACACAGGCUGCAUCUUGCAAUUGAAAAUGCUGUUAAAGAUGAUGCAAGAGUUAAACGAGCAACAGGACUUUGCAAACAGAUGGUUGGUGUCUUCUCUCAUAGCUGGAAAAAGAAGACAGCGUUGAAAAAGGCACAGCAAGAAUUAAAUUUACCUGAGCACUCACUGAUUACAGUGUCCAACAAGAUGGGGUUCAAGGCAAAAAAUGAUUGGGAGGGUGUUGGAGCAGAGCAAGGCAUUGUCUCAGGUUCUGACUGAAGACAAGAAGAUGCGUCACCUGGUCCCCACUUGGCAGGACAUAGAUGUCCUUGAAUCAAUAAACAGAGCCCUUGGUCCUCUUCAGGAGUUCACAGAUGCUCUGUCUGGUGAAGCCUACGUAAGCAUGUCGUACCUGAAGCCAGUCCUCCAUCUCCUGAGAACAUCAAUCCUGACUGAAAAGGAUGAGGACACUGAUCUUACCAAGGAAAUAAAGUCAAGCGCUCUUGCUUACAUUGAAGAUAAAUACAGCGACCCAGCCACACAGGAGCUACUGGACAUUACUUUGUUCCUUAAUCCUAGAUUCAAGACUGACUACAUAAGAGCAGAGAAUGUCCCAAAGAUCAAAGACAGAGUGAAGACUGAAAUGGAAGAGGUGGUACGAAAGGAAAAGAGGACUCGUGUCAGCACCACAGAUGCCAUGUCCCAGGGUGCAACAGAGGCAGCGCCAUUCACCAAAGGAAAGGGAAAGCGGUCACUUAGCAGCUUCUUCAAGAGCAAGGCUGUCCCUCCAUCUUCCACUUUGCAGUUGGAGGAUGCCAUUAAAGCUGAACUGGACAACUACCUGAUGACUCCAACUAUCGAUGGAGAAGAAGAUCCACUGGUCUGGUGGAGAAUGCACAAUGUUAAUUUUCCAUGGCUGUGCAAACUGGCUCGUAAAUUCCUGUGCAUACCAGCCACCAGUUCGCCGUCAGAGAGGCUGUUUAGUGCUAGUGGCAAUAUUGUCACAUGUCAACGCUCAUGUCUGAAACCAUCAAAGGUUGACAUGCUGGUUUUCUUGACCAAAAAUCUGUAAAGAGUGAUGUAGAGAUGUCAAGGAAGCAAGUGUUAUUGUCAUUUUUUGUCAUACUUGUUGGUAUUACUUUACACAUUGUGAAUAAUGCAUUGAAGCAUAAUUUGAAGAAAAUCGCAAAUCGAAUUAAAAUCGCAAUAUC
Molecule: long non-coding RNA, 2297 nt
Organism: Acanthochromis polyacanthus (spiny chromis)
Lineage: Eukaryota; Metazoa; Chordata; Actinopteri; Pomacentridae
Exons: 3
Source: RefSeq, a predicted model, not a curated record